ACUCAAAUGAAUAGACGGGGACCCGCACAAGCGGUGGAUUAUGUGGAUUAAUUCGAUGCAACGCGAAAAACCUUACCUACCCUUGACAUGUCCUGGAGGCGGGAGAGAUCUCGCUGUGCCCGAAAGGGAACGGGAACACAGGUGCUGCAUGGCUGUCGUCAGCUCGUGUCGUGAGAUGUUGGGUUAAGUCCCGCAACGAGCGCAACCCUUGUCAUUAGUUGCUACAUUCAGUUGGGCACUCUAAUGAGACUGCCGGUGACAAACCGGAGGAAGGUGGGGAUGACGUCAAGUCCUCAUGGCCCUUAUGGGUAGGGCUUCACACGUAAUACAAUGGCGCGUACAGAGGGUUGCCAAGGAGCGAUCUGGAGCCAAUCCCUAUAAAGCGCGUCGUAGUCCGGAUUGCAGUCUGCAACUCGACUGCAUGAAGUCGGAAUCGCUAGUAAUCGCGGAUCAGCAUGUCGCGGUGAAUACGUUCCCGGGUCUUGCACACACCGCCCGU
RNAcentral lists this ribosomal RNA (499 nucleotides) under uncultured bacterium. Its description in RNAcentral is "partial 16S ribosomal RNA". It matches the Rfam family "Bacterial small subunit ribosomal RNA", at positions 899 to 1397 of the family's 1533-position model. The record is from RNAcentral.